RNAcentral lists this ribosomal RNA (450 nucleotides) under uncultured bacterium. RNAcentral describes it as "bacterial SSU rRNA". It matches the Rfam family "Bacterial small subunit ribosomal RNA", at positions 354 to 796 of the family's 1533-position model. The record is from RNAcentral.
GUGGGGAAUUUUGGACAAUGGGCGCAAGCCUGAUCCAGCAAUGCCGCGUGCAGGAAGAAGGCCUUCGGGUUGUAAACUGCUUUUGUACGGAACGAAACGGUCCUGGCUAAUAUCCGGGGCUAAUGACGGUACCGUAAGAAUAAGCACCGGCUAACUACGUGCCAGCAGCCGCGGUAAUACGUAGGGUGCGAGCGUUAAUCGGAAUUACUGGGCGUAAAGCGUGCGCAGGCGGUGCUGUAAGACAGGCGUGAAAUCCCCGGGCUCAACCUGGGAAUUGCGCUUGUGACUGCAGUGCUGGAGUGCGGCAGAGGGGGAUGGAAUUCCGCGUGUAGCAGUGAAAUGCGUAGAUAUGCGGAGGAACACCGAUGGCGAAGGCAAUCCCCUGGGCCUGCACUGACGCUCAUGCACGAAAGCGUGGGGAGCAAACAGGAUUAGAUACCCGUGUAGUCC